Molecule: ribosomal RNA, 324 nt
Filed under: Clostridioides difficile
Lineage: Bacteria; Bacillati; Bacillota; Clostridia; Peptostreptococcales; Peptostreptococcaceae
Description: bacterial SSU rRNA
Rfam family: Bacterial small subunit ribosomal RNA
Source: RNAcentral
AAGGCUACGGCUCAACCGUAGUAAGCUCUUGAAACUGGGAGACUUGAGUGCAGGAGAGGAGAGUGGAAUUCCUAGUGUAGCGGUGAAAUGCGUAGAUAUUAGGAGGAACACCAGUUGCGAAGGCGGCUCGCUGGACUGUAACUGACGCUGAGGCACGAAAGCGUGGGGAGCAAACAGGAGUAGAUACCCUGGUAGUACAAGCUGUAAACGCUGAGUACUAGGUGGCGGGGACUACCCCCCUCGGAGCGGCAGCUCACGGAGAGAGUACUCCGCCUGAGAAGUACGCUCGCAAGAGUGAAAAUGAAAGGAAUUGACGGGGACCCG